CCUACGGGAGGCAGCAGUGAGGAAUAUUGGUCAAUGGACGCAAGUCUGAACCAGCAAUGCCGCGUGCAGGAAGACGGCUCUCUGAGUGUAAAACUGCUUUUGUACGAGGGUAAACGCAGAUACGCGUCUCUGUCUGAACGUAUCGUACGAAUAAGGAUCGGCUAACUCCGUGCCGGCCGCCGCGGCAAUACGGAGGAUUCAUGCGUUAUCCGGAUUUAGUGGGUUUAAAGGGUGCCAAGGCGGAGGUGCAAGUCAGCGGUAAAAUUGCGGGGCUCAACCCCGUACUGCCGUUGAAACUGCAUCCCUUGAGUGCGCGAGAGGUACGCGGAAUGCGUGGUGUAGCGGUGAAAUGCAUAGAUAUCACGCAGAACUCCGAUUGCGAAGGCAGCAUACCGGCGCGCAACUGACGCUCAUGCACGAAAGCGUGGGUAUCGAACAGGAUUAGAUACCCUUGUAGUC
Molecule: ribosomal RNA, 459 nt
Filed under: uncultured bacterium
Lineage: Bacteria
Description: partial 16S ribosomal RNA
Rfam family: Bacterial small subunit ribosomal RNA
Source: RNAcentral